RNAcentral lists this ribosomal RNA (500 nucleotides) under uncultured bacterium. RNAcentral describes it as "partial 16S ribosomal RNA". It matches the Rfam family "Bacterial small subunit ribosomal RNA", at positions 28 to 507 of the family's 1533-position model. The record is from RNAcentral.
GACGAACGCUGGCGGCGUGCUUAACACAUGCAAGUCGAACGGGUCUGCCCUGUUUUUUGCGGGGUGGGUCAGUGGCGAACGGGUGAGUAACACGUGAGUAACCUGCCCCUCACUUCUGGAUAACCGCUUGAAAGGGUGGCUAAUACGGGGUGUUCUGGCUGUGCCGCAUGGUGUGGCUGGGAAAGAUUCACUUUUGUGGUGUUUUGGUGGGGGAUGGGCUCGCGGCCUAUCAGCUUGUUGGUGGGGUGAUGGCCUGCCAAGGCUUUGACGGGUAGCCGGCCUGAGAGGGUGGGCGGUCACACUGGGGCUGAGAGACGGCCCAGACUGCUGCGGGGGGCAGCAGUGGGGGGGAGUGAACAAUGGGCGGGAGUCUGAUGCAGCGGCGUCGCGUGAGGGAUGGAGGCCGUCGGGGUGUGAACCUCUUUCGCCGGUGAAGAAGGUCCUGCUAUUGGUGGUGGGGUUGACGGUAGCCGGGUUAUGAAGCGCCGGCUAACUACGUG